RNAcentral lists this long non-coding RNA (1818 nucleotides) under Sus scrofa (pig). RNAcentral's name for it is "lncRNA (ENSSSCG00060060391.1)". Lineage: Eukaryota; Metazoa; Chordata; Mammalia; Artiodactyla; Suidae. The record is from RNAcentral.
GACCUGAGUCUGGCCCGUAGGCUACCUCCUGAAGUUGAGAGUGUUUCUGCCUCUGGUGAAGCCUUGUGUUAGCUUUCACACACAUGAUGUUAAGGGGUGAAUUGUCCUUUCUUAUUUUUUCUCAUUUCUCUUACUGCUAUUUUGAAAACUCCUCUAGAGUAUGGGCGAAGAAAGUAAAAGUGAAACUCAGCACAUUUUUAAAAAAUUAGUCAUUGUAUUUUUCAAAGGAAAGUUGCUGAAAGAGAAACCAAGGGAAUCUACAGAUUAGAACAAGAUCUAGGGAGGCUUCUCCUCAGAGCAGCAACGACCGGGAGGACUCUGUGGUGGAAACACUCUGCCCCGCUCUGUCCGUUGCGGUCGCCAUUCAGGCGAGUGUGGCUUUGAGCACUUGACAUAUGCAUCAUUCAGCCACCAAAUCUAUCUGUAAGUCUGGGGAAAGGAGCCACAGAGGAAGACUGUGGGGAGAUGAGAGUCAUGACGAGAAAAACCACUUGUUGUUCUAACCACUUCUCCCAGGAGGAGACUGUGACCCAGGGAGUUUCUCUGGGAGCUUUGCCAUUGAAACCUCUGUACAUCCCCUGGCAACAGACGAUUUGCUGCACUGCUGAAAGGAGCAGACAGGGGCUGGGCGCGGGGAGUGCCGAAGCUCACAAAGGAACUGUCCUCUUAAAUAACAAGCCCACUGCUCGCCAAGGCUGCUGGAGCGCUUUCAUUCAACAGGGGUCUGGAGCAACCACCUCUCUGCCUGGCAUAUAAAUCUCUGUGGGCUUUCUUCCUUCUAGGUUUUUUCCUCUUUUGGGUGUGGAUGGGUUCUACUGUCUGUUGCUUUGCUUUUUUUUUAGUUGAGAAAAAUCUGAUUAAAGAACUGAUGAUUUCAUCUUCAGGUCUCCUGUGUAUUAUGUGAAGUGACACAGUGUUCUUUAUUUCCACACUAAACACAUUAAAAGGUAACUGUAGAAUUUUUAUAUUUGUGCUUCGUGUGCAUUAUACUCGUAGAUGCAACUUUUGUACAGAAAGGCAAGAAAACAGGACGCAUCAUGAAAGGUUUAAAGUGGGAAGUAAAAUUAAUUUACUUCAUAGUACAUGGACUUACAUCAUAUUAUAUAUACUUUUGAAGUUCAGGGAACCUACUAAAGGGGAAGGAGUUUAAUGUUUUCGUGUGGAAUUCUGUCUCUGCCCUGUCGUGGUAUAUUUGGGGUUAAUAUGUGUCCUUUCCAUCUUAAUGUAUGUAAACUUCAUUCUAAAGCUUUGUAAGUAAAUAUCUGAAGGUUUCCAGGUUAUUCUAAGCAAAGUUUGUCAAAACAGAGCACCUGAAAAGGUCCACCCCCUCAUUUAUUGACAAAAUAUCUUAUUUCAGGACUUUGUUUUCAGUAGACAAGUUGCUCAUUGGUGGCUUUUUCCACAUUUUUUGACAUUUUUGAGUGGCAUUGUGACAGCAGUAUAUCGGAGCAGCGUAGGGGCAAAUACAUAAAAUGCAGGCGUACUGACUUUGUAUGAGUUUGCAUUUAUUAGGCCUGGUCAUGUAUGCCAAUUCACAGGCAUAUCUGAGUAUAUGAAAACAAAUAAUCCUAAUAAAAUUGUUACGAUAAAUAUAUAAACAGUACAAAAAAGAUGGGAUGAAAGAAAGGCAGUUCUAAGAAAGAAGUUUAUAACCAUAAACACCUGUACUAAGGAAAAAAAUAACUCAACCAAACUUACUUUACACCUGAAAGAAUUAGAAGAAAAAACUAAGCCGUAAGUUAGUAGAAGGGAAAUAACAAAGAUCAGAGCAAAACUAAAUGAAAUAGAGACCAAAAAAAAAAAAAAAAAAAAAAAAAA